Molecule: long non-coding RNA, 368 nt
Filed under: Setaria italica (foxtail millet)
Lineage: Eukaryota; Viridiplantae; Streptophyta; Magnoliopsida; Poales; Poaceae
Description: long non-coding RNA (SITA_LNC003163)
Source: RNAcentral
GAAUCGCACCCAAAUUCGACCGGGGAAUCGCGCCACCCGGGCCCCGCCAGCCACCAUGAGCUUCUCGUCGAUGAGCAAGCAGCAGGUGCUGGACGCCGGCGAGGGCGCGGGGGAGGAGGUCAUGGAGCUGAUCCCUGGCCUGCCGGAGGAAGUGGCCGAGAAGUGCCUCCUCCACCUGCCCUUCCUCUACCACCGCCUCUUCCGCACCGUCUCCUCCACCUGGAACCGCUUCCUCACCGACGCCCCCGCCAAGCCGCUGCUGCUCGCUCCCCCCGCGGCUGCGGCGGCGCCCGCGGGGUCGGUGUCCUUCUCGCUCCCAUUCCUCUUCGCCUUCGCGUUCGACCCAGCGUCGCGGCGGCUCCAGUGCC